GCGCACGUGGCGGAAUUGGUAGACGCGCCAGCUUGAGGGGCUGGUGGGAGAAAUCCCGUGGAAGUUCGAGUCUUCUCGUGCGCA
This 84-nucleotide transfer RNA is filed under the name Flavobacteriaceae bacterium. Its description in RNAcentral is "tRNA-Leu". It matches the Rfam family "tRNA". From Rfam's summary of the family: Transfer RNA (tRNA) molecules are approximately 80 nucleotides in length. Their secondary structure includes four short double-helical elements and three loops (D, anti-codon, and T loops). Further hydrogen bonds mediate the characteristic L-shaped molecular structure. tRNAs have two regions of fundamental functional importance: the anti-codon, which is responsible for specific mRNA codon recognition, and the 3' end, to which the tRNAs corresponding amino acid is attached (by aminoacyl-tRNA synthetases). tRNAs cope with the degeneracy of the genetic code in two manners: having more than one tRNA (with a specific anti-codon) for a particular amino acid; and 'wobble' base-pairing, i.e. permitting non-standard base-pairing at the 3rd anti-codon position. The record is from RNAcentral. Lineage: Bacteria; Pseudomonadati; Bacteroidota; Flavobacteriia; Flavobacteriales; Flavobacteriaceae.